CAUGCAAGUCUACUUGAUCCUUCGGGUGAAGGUGGCGGACGGGUGAGUAACGCGUANANUACUUGCCUUACAGACUGGGACAACAUUUGGAAACGAAUGCUAAUACCGGAUAUUAUGACUGAGUCGCAUGAUUUGGUUAUGAAAGCUAUAUGCGCUGUGAGAGAGCUUUGCGUCCCAUUAGUUAGUUGGUGAGGUAACGGCUCACCAAGACGAUGAUGGGUAGCCGGCCUGAGAGGGUGAACGGCCACAAGGGGACUGAGACACGGCCCUUACUCCUACGGGAGGCAGCAGUGGGGAAUAUUGGACAAUGGACCAAAAGUCUGAUCCAGCAAUUCUGUGUGCACGAUGAAGUUUUUCGGAAUGUAAAGUGCUUUCAGUUGGGAAGAAGUCAGUGACGGUACCAACAGAAGAAGCGACGGCUAAAUACGUGCCAGCAGCCGCGGUAAUACGUAUGUCGCAAGCGUUAUCCGGAUUUAUUGGGCGUAAAGCGCGUCUAGGCGGUUUAGUAAGUCUGAUGUGAAAAUGCGGGGCUCAACCCCGUAUUGCGUUGGAAACUGUUAAACUAGAGUACUGGAGAGGUAGGCGGAACUACAAGUGUAGAGGUGAAAUUCGUAGAUAUUUGUAGGAAUGCCGAUGGGGAAGCCAGCCUACUGGACAGAUACUGACGCUAAAGCGCGAAAGCGUGGGUAGCAAACAGGAUUAGAUACCCUGGUAGUCCACGCCGUAAACGAUGAUUACUAGGUGUUGGGGGUCGAACCUCAGCGCCCAAGCUAACGCGAUAAGUAAUCCGCCUGGGGAGUACGUACGCAAGUAUGAAACUCAAAGGAAUUGACGGGGACCCGCACAAGCGGUGGAGCAUGUGGUUUAAUUCGACGCAACGCGAGGAACCUUACCAGCGUUUGACAUCCCAAGAAGUUAACAGAGAUGUUUUCGUGCCUCUUCGGAGGAACUUGGUGACAGGUGGUGCAUGGCUGUCGUCAGCUCGUGUCGUGAGAUGUUGGGUUAAGUCCCGCAACGAGCGCAACCCCUUUCGUAUGUUACCAUCAUUAAGUUGGGGACUCAUGCGAGACUGCCUGCGAUGAGCAGGAGGAAGGUGGGGAUGACGUCAAGUCAUCAUGCCCCUUAUACGCUGGGCUACACACGUGCUACAAUGGGUAGUACAGAGAGCUGCAAACCUGCGAGGGUAAGCUAAUCUCAUAAAACUAUUCUUAGUUCGGAUUGUACUCUGCAACUCGAGUACAUGAAGUUGGAAUCGCUAGUAAUCGCAAAUCACGCUAUGUUGCGGUGAAUACGUUCUCGGGUCUUGUACACACCGCCCGUCACACCAGCGAGAGUUGGUUGCACCUGAAGUAACAGGCCUAACCCGUAAGGAGGGAUUUCCAGGGUGU
This 1388-nucleotide ribosomal RNA is filed under the name bacterium NLAE-zl-P254. RNAcentral's name for it is "16S ribosomal RNA". It matches the Rfam family "Bacterial small subunit ribosomal RNA". The record is from RNAcentral.